UCCGGUCUCGAGUACCCGGGGAGCGACCGCCGGGACAUUCGGAUCCCGGCGGAGAAUAUUCCAUGGCGACGUCGCUGCCGGCGCACGCGCUGGGAGACGUGUUGGAUUGGUGGGAGGAGAUGAACAACUCUACCCUGUGGCAGGAUCGCAUCUUCCACGCCCUCGCCGCCCUCUUCGGACUUGUUUCCGCUGUCGCUCUCGUAAUGUUCCUUUCCAAUAUAUGCAAAAAUCGUGAUCCGAUUUAUUUUAUUCCCCUCUGAUGAACGAUCAUUUUCGUCUGCCACGGAAUCGGUUUGUCCAUUAUAGAUGCAUGGUUCAAGAAUUUGGUACCACUGGCUAACGAUUCUUGGGGAUAGGUAUAGGUUAUGAUGGAGCCGAGAAAUUUAGCGAAUUAUAGGAUAGGUAUAGGUAUAUAAUAUGUGGUGGUGGCUGAUGCGGUCUGCACCUGUUUAAGCCGUGGCGUCGGGGUCGUCGCGGCUUGGUUCGGGUCCGGAAGGCGGUGAUCUCGGUGGGGGCGUUCCUCGGGGUCUCCCGGCGGUCGAGCACGGUGGUUCGGGUCGGGAGGUCGGGUCGGUAGUUCGGGUCGGUAGUUCGGGUCGGGAGGAAGCUCCGUCGCAGUGCUUGGAAGAGUCGACCCCGUUUGGCACAUGCACAAAGGUCGGGCCGGGAGCCAGGCCCGACCUCUCCGACGGCCAAGUUAGCGAUGUGGAGGGGGUUUAGGAGGAGGAAAAGCCUCUGUGUGUUGAGUGUGUCCCCCCCCCUCCUUCCUCUUAGCAUGCGAGGGUAUUUAUAGGGGAGGUUUGAUGUUACCUGACGUAGCUGUCUGCAGGGCAGGACUGUACCUUUGGUGGCGUCUGACAUUGCCACUGGGGCUACAUGGGAGGCCGAGCUGCUGCAGGGUAUGGCGAGCCUCGGGCAGUGUGUCACUCAGGGGGAUGCUGUCAUGGCGUGUCACAUCACCAUUUUUGCCCCUAUCAGUGGCCAUGAUGAUGAUUUCAUAUGUUACUUUUGUUGUGAUUCUUUGGUUCAGGUAUUAAUAUAAAAUUUGAACAACCAAUGCAAAUCAGUAAUGUUGUGGGAAACAACCUUAAGCCGUGGCCUCGGGGCCGACGUGGCUCGGUUCGGGUUCGGAUGACGGGGGAUCUUCCCGGGACGGCCUUCGAGUCCGCUGAGGUGGCCGAUUACGGUGGUUCGAUCGGGACGGGGUCACCGUUUCCUCCGGGCAAGAACUCAUCGCCUGUGCGUCCCGUGGGGACCUUCGGCUUCGCACCUGCACAAAGGUCGGGUCAGGGUGCUCGGCCCGACUCCUCCGACGAUCAAGUUAGUGGAUAGCGGCAGGGGAAUUCUUUAGCUGAGUCGUGUCUUCCUCCUCCCUCCCCUCCUGAGAGGGUAUUUAUAGGGAAAGUUACCGUUGUUUGAUGUGCUUGCUGGCAGGGAGCAGGAUCGUACUCCUGGUAGCGUCCGACACCGACGUUGGCGUGGCGUGAGGGAUCGAACCUGAGCAGGACGUUAAUGCACCUCGGCUGGCGUUCUGGUCCGUUUGACCAGGUGCUGUCGGGUCGAUCGAGGCGUGAGGCGUCAUCUGGGGCAGCUGACGUCAGCCCGAGUCUUGUCGCCAUUAUUAUCCUCAUCAUAUUCCCCCCUGGAAAGAAGCUAUGCGUCGGUCGUUGUAACGGGAGUCCGAGGCAUGGCUUUGGCAUUAAGAAACUGUCCCUCUCGGGCGUUUGCCAGGGGUGUGGGGAUCGUGGAGUUUAGUAAGGAAGGUUGCGUGCGUAGCGGUGACCCUAGGUAGUGUGCGGCCGAGGAGCACAACUCAGUCGAGCAGGCCGAGCAGAGGCUGUGGCCUCGAGCAACACGCGACCGAGGAGCACAGCUCAGGCGGGCAGGCCGCGCAGAGGCAGUGGUCUCGGGCAGCAUGGAGCCGAGGAGCACGACGUAGGCGGGCAGGCCGCGCAGGUGUGGUCUCGGGGAGCAUGGAGCCGAGGAGCACGACGCAGGCGGGCUGGCCGCGCAGGUGUGGUCUCGGGGGCCAUGGAGCCGAGGAGCACGACGCAGGCAGGCUGGCCGCGCAGGUGUGGUCUCGGGGAGCAUGGAGCCGAGGAGCACAACGCUGGCCAGUGGCGGGCUGGCCGCGCAGGUGUAGUCUCGGGGGGCAUGGAGCCGAGGAGUACGACGCAGGCGGGCUGGCCGCGCAGGUGUGGUCUCGGGGAGCAUGGAGCCAAGGAGCACGACGCAGGCGGGCUGGUCGCGCAGGUGUGGUCUCGGGGGGCAUGGAGCCGAGGAGCACGACGCAGGCGGGCUGGCCGCGCAGGUGUGGUCUCGGGCAACAUGCGACCGAGGAGCACGACGCACGUGGGCAGGCCGCGCAGGUGUGGUCUCGAGCAACAUGCGACCGAGGAGCACGACGCAGGCGGGCUGGCCGCGCAGGUGUGGUCUCGGGCAACAUGCGGCCGAGGAGCACGACGCAGGUGGGCAGGCCGCGCAGGUGUGGUCUCGGGGGGCAUAGAGUCGAGGAGCACGACACAGGCGGGCUGGCCGCGCAAGUGUGGUCUCGAGCAACAUGCGGCCGAGGAGUACGAUGCAGGCGGGCAGGCCACGCAGGUGUGGUCUCGGGCAACAUGUGAUCGAGGGAUAUGGCUCAGGCGGGCAGACCGCGCAGGCGUGGUCUCGGGCAACAUGCGGCCGAGGAGUAUGGCUCGGACGGCAACAGGCCCGGGUCGUUGAAUAUCCGCCAAUAACGUUCUGAGGUCGUGGCGGGGUGUUCGUCACGAUGAUCUCCAUGCGGGGGGUGUUCCCCCGAGGCUCUAAUCGAGUGCGACCUCUCAGCCGCGGGCUCAUCUGAGCCGCUCGGGUGAUCACUCGACAUUCCGGGCCCUCCCUCUAGCGCCAAAAAUGUUGUGGGAAACAACCUUAAGCCGUGGCCUCGGGGCCGACGCGGCUCGGUUCGGGUCCGGAUGACGGGGGAUCUUCCCGGGACGGCCUUCGAGUCCGCUGAGGUGGCUGAUUACGGUGGUCCGAUCGGGACGGGGUAGCCAUUUCCUCCGGGCAAGAACUCCUCGCUUGCGCGUGGGGACCUUCGGCUUCGCACCUGCACAAAGGUCGGGUCGGGGUGCUCAGUCCGACCCCUCCAACGAUCAAGUUAGUGGAUAGCGGCAGGGGAAUUCUUUAGCUGAGUCGUGUCUUCCUCCCCCCUCCCCUCCUGAGAGGGUAUUUAUAGGGAAGGUUACCGUUGUUUGAUGUGCCUGCUAGCAGGGAGCAGGAUCGUACUCCUGGUAGCGUCCGACACCGACGUUGGCGUGGCGUGAGGGAUCGAGCCUGAGCAGGACGUUAAUGCGCCUCGGCCGGUGUUCUGGUCCGUUUGACCAGGUGCUGUUGGGUCGAUCGAGGCGUGAGGCAUCAUCUGGGGCAACUGACGUCAGCCCGAGUCUUGUCGUCAUUAUUAUCCUCAUCAGGUAACGAGAUGCUUCUUGAAAUCUGGCUGCACGUCGAAUUAUUGUAUGCUAUUAGUUUCACUCUUUGGUUAAUUGAAAUAAUCUAGUCCACAAAUACAAUUGGUUAGAACCGAGUUCAGAGUGCCAGAGUUUGGUUGGACGAUACAGAAGGUCUUUCACUUCUUGAAUCUCCUGGUGAAUGGCGGUGAGGAUCUAGCUUUACUGAUAUUAUGCACUCUGGUACAAUGUGACGAGGAGGUGUUUACAUCUGCUUUUUCUGUCAAACUGUGGUUCUUGUCUUCUGCAGUCAGAUCACUUGUCUUCAUAUUUCGUCGGGGACUACAAAUAAAGCCUGAGGUUUGACUCACUUAUUUUUUGUGCUCUGUAGGUAUUGAGUCGUUCUUAUGGUAGCUUAUCUUACAGAUCAUCCAACAUUUCCUUCUGGAUUUGCCUGGUCUUGCAUUCUUCACUACCUAUGCACUUUUGGUGCUGUUUUGGGCUGAAAUAUAGUACCAGGUUUAUUUUUUAGCUUUUUUGUGUUGUUUUAUUUUGGUCAUGGUUCAUAUGAAUGUUCAGUCAGUUUAUUUUCACUGAAAUGGAAUGUCAUGCAGACACACUUGAUAUCUACUGAUGGCCUUAGACCAUGUUUCUAUACAAUUAAUGCAAUGGUUUAUGCUAUCCAGGUAAUGACAUAGUUAAUUGUAUGUUGGACAAGUAGCAUAAGUAUCAUUCUUGUGUCAAUCCUCUUUUAUCUUAUUACAAGUUGAACUUGCAACAAUUAUUCUUCUCUCAGCUGUUUUUUAAAUUAUUAGCUGGUGUUCAGAAUGUGAAAGAGUGAUUUCUACUGGCUCUUUCAGUUUUUGGAAAACUAAUCUGUAUACGAUGAUUUGCUAAUGAAAUUUUGUUUCCUCAAAAUUAGAUGAGUGCAACAAGCAUGUUGAUGCAGAUGCAGAGUGACGCGGGGUAAGCAAUGAUGAGGUCGACGGUGCGCUCGUCGUGGAGGCGAGUGACGUCGUGAUGAGUGCAAACCUUAUCAUUGUCGGAGACGGCUAAGCAACUAUAUCGACGUAAAUGCCAAUGGCGCCUCCAUCCGUCACCACUGACGUUGUCCACCACCGAACUUUAAAAUUAUUUUUUUUAUUCUUUGUUUUCAUGUUUCCGUCGAUAACUGACAUCAUUAGGGUAAAUGGACUUAGAUGUUUCACUUUCAGAACCAUAAAAAUGCCAAUGUAAUUUUUUAAAAUGUAGAGACCGAAACAUUAAAGACAACUUACUACAUGGGACAAUCUGUAAUUAGCCCUUGCAGUGGUCUUUUACUUAUUGCGAGCAGCUCUAAGGAUUACAGUUGAUAUGGAAUUUUUGAGUAGAUUACUUGCUAGUUUUUUCCAUGCAUAACAAUAUAUAUGGUUUAGGGAUUGGUGCUUAUGAGCUAAGACAGAAUAUGAGCUAGAAAAUGGUCGAUAAGUAACCAACGAGAAAAUAGUGUUUACUUGGAUCCCAGCAUGACCACACAAAUAGAAGUCAAACUCUGUUGGAUGGCAGAUCUUAGAAUCAACAACAGUAUCUAGAAUUCCAGACACCGCACUAGCCUCAUUCUCCCUCCUCUCUCUCUCAUUUUCUUUCUAGUCUCUCUUAAACUCACUUAAUUCUCUCUUAAAUCCCUUCCAAAUUCAUUGAAGAUCAUUAGGGGAGGUUGAUUUCCAUGAGAAGAAGAUUAACUCAAGAUCUAGACCAUUUUCCCUUUACAUCAAGGUGAAUCCGAGCCUUAUUUGUAAGUUAAUAUCAUGCAAUUAGGCAAGGUUCGCCGUACCAUACCGUACCGGCGUUUCGACUCAUGCUCGGUACGGUACGGUACGGGUGUACCGACCGGUACACCGAGGUGUACCGAGCACUGUAGCGUUGCUUGUCGGACCGGUACAGGGCGGUCCGCGUACCGACAACUUGUCGGACCGGUAUGUACCGCCCGUACCGGGCGGUACGACUCGGUACGGCAAACCCUGCAAUUAGGUUUAGGUUUAUGUUUAUUCUUGCAUGCCUAGGCUAAAUUUCAAAGAUUAGAUCUAAUUUAGAGCUUGAUGUAAUAUCUAAAUUUUGGUUGAUUUAAGUUAAAUGAUCUAACUUUGUAGUUUGAUUGUACAUGCCAAGAAGAAUCCCAAAAUAGGAUUAGAAACUUUUCUUUUUCAGACUUCUGAAAGUAAGUAUACACCAGCACUGAUACAAGGUAUAGUACUAGCCAGACCCAUACCAGUUCGGGUCCUGAAAUUAACAACACUGGAUAGCAAAACUUUCAUGUUAGCGUUCACUUUUAGUUACCCUCAUCAUUCAUCAUUUUUUGUGCAUUAAUAUGAACAUAUAUCUUAUGCAAAUUUUAGCACCAUAUGGUAAUUCUUUCUCAAUUUAUUACAUAUUAUUUGUAAAACGUCAUAGGAAGUCGUCGUACUACCUGUAACGAAAGUGCUAUGUAAUUGUAACAAGGUUUUGUGAAUCCCAUCUUUUAGUAUGCAUAAUUAAUUUUCUUUUCAAGAUUCACUUUUUGAAUUAAAAAUGGAAAUUUUAUCAGGCUUUUGUCCCUUUUUUGCCCCCAAGUAAAAUUUUUUUUCUAACUUUUGAACUUGUUCUCAUGGAAGAUGAUAAAGUUCUUGGUACAUGGAUCUAAGAGGCUAGAAUGAAUUCUUUGUAGUCAUAUCUUAUUUUACAUUUCUACACUUUGCACUUUGGUUGCUCUUUUGAUGGAAGCCCAUCCAAGCGAUAGUUAUCCUAUCCAAGAUCUUCUUUGCAGGUUUUAUUACCGAAUAUAUGGAUUUUAUUUUGUUGUUUAUGAAUUAGAUGAAAUGAACUAUAUAUUUAUAUAUUUUUACAGGUGUUUCUUUGUUUGCUGCCAUUGGAUUUCUUUUAUAUGGAGUGAGGUGUGCCACUGAUGUGUGUUUAUGUACAUAUCUCUUUCCACUUAGUUUGAACCUGCACCUGUUAUUCUUUGUAUAUCAUUUUUCCUGAGUAGGAUUUUAACUCUCAUGUCUUCACUAAUGUUCAAAAUGCAGGCUGUAUGUGAAUAGAAGCUAUAUCCAGUCAAAAUUAUAAUAUUCUAAAAGACUUGUUAUCAUGAACCAUUUUAUGUACUUUUAUUUUUCUGAAUUUGUUUAAUUACAUCCUUGGAAACCAUAAAAUGCACAUUCUGUCAGCAAUGCUAUAUUCUUCGUACACUGGAAUUUUGGUUGGAUUACCAUUUUAAAUAUGUGAUAGUUUUUUUAACUUGUGUUCUUUCUGAAAUUUUAUUUUUGAUCAAUUGUCUUUAUGAAAAUUAAACAUUAUCAACUUGUGUUUCUGAACUUAUUAGGAACUGUAUACCAAUUCUUGAUGAAAAUCUGUGGCUUAUGCUUUUGAAAAGAUUGUUAACUCUAGUUAAUUGAGCUCAAAUAUUUUAGCUCAUUUAGUAUUCAAGAAGCAUGUGAGGCAGCAGACUUUGGCAUUUCAAAAAUCUAUCUUUCAUCUAACUCCAUGUUCAUGCCUGAGUUAUACAUUUGAGAACUUCAAAGCAUGUCAUAUAUGUGAAGCUUGAAGUAAAUAUUUAAACUAACAUCUAAUACUGAACACAGAAGGCUGAAAAUCCAUAUGCCCCUGAUAAUUCAAACUUAUCCACUAGUCUGUCAGUAAGGAUUUUUUUUUUUUUUUGCUUUUAAAUAUUCAGUAUAGCUAUUGAAAUACCAAGUCAAAUGAACAUUAACGGAUGGGGAUAACCAAGCUAGUGUGUAUGAUGAGGCUGAUAACUAAUACAUGUUUCUUGAGGCACAUACUAAUAUGUUAUGGGACUUAAUUGAGUAAUAUUUUGUCCUUUUUAGGCUCUUCUUCAUGCUGUAAUGCUUCCCUGUUGAAUCAAAAGGGCGAUGGAAAAAGUUAUAAGAGGUUGGCUAUGUUACCAUUGUCUGUUUCUUAUGUUUCAUGUCACGAUGUAUUAUGGUGUGGUUCAAUGCCUUUGAUAAGGCUGCAAAUAUUGAUGUUCUAAACCAUCCAAUUCUGAACUUCAUAUUCUACUUAGUAUGGCUCAAAUUUAUUUGGUCUUGAACAUGGUCAAUGCAGUGAGUUCAUUGCUUGCUGAAAUUCUUCCUCCAUCCCUAGUCCUUUUCAUUCUAAGAAAACUGCCACUUAAGUGGAAGAUCACUCAAUACCACCCACUCCACUGAUCCAGGAAUUAUGUGCCUUUAUCCAUUUCGAGUUCCCCGUAAGAAACAUAGAUUGUUUUGCAAAGUUAAUGUUCCAUCAUUCUAAUCUGCAACAAGGGGACCAGAAAAGCUGCAACUAUCAGGGUUUGUCAUGGGCUUGCAAUUUGUUCCUGGGAGGCUGUUGAUCAUUGGGAAUAUUAUCAAGGUCUGCAUAGAAUCUCAACUCUGUAGCAAUGAUCCAUUAAGUUUCAUUUCAUUUUGCAUACACAAUCUCGAACUCUGCUAAUAGUCUGUGGUUACUAUAGUCUACUUCUACUCGUGAACUCAACUAUCUCAGAACACUUAUCCAAGAUCCCUUAAUUAUCUCAGUAUUACUUUGCUUCAGUAUUGUUUUUUGUCGCAGAUGAUCAAAGCAAUACACCUGCAGAUAAUUCAUUGAGUUACCUUUGGUAAGUUUGCUAUUUAGCUUCUCUUCUAAGUCAAACUGCUUAUUUUGCAUGAAUGUGAAAGCAUGUAAUAUGUUUCGCUUAUGAAUUACAGAAAUCCAGUAAUUUGAUAUUUAUCUGACAAUGUUGUUAGUGUCUCUUGAAUUUUUAUCCACUCUGUAUACUCAGCCUAACAAUCAGGUACUCAUUGUGUGCAUAAAAUUCUUCUUUUCAGAUUUUAGUUUGAAAUCCCCAUGUGUGUCAACUAUGUUGUCAUGCUACUGCAAAUAUAAAAUGGGUGUGUUUGUCAGUAAUUAUCUCUGCAAUUUCUUUGAUUGUUCUGUUUUACAAUAUCAAAAUCAUGAUUUUAAAUUUCCAUAAUGGCUCUGUAUGGCAGUGAGUGAGACGCAUGAUGUCAAACCGGAUUGGACACUGUGAUCAAACCGAUUUAUAUCGUCUGUUGGAACAAAGUGCAGGAUUCAUCUGGAGAGCUGUUCGACCAGAACUUGGGCAAAUCAAAUGUGCUCGAGGUAUGGCAUUUACAUCCCUCUACUCUAAGUUGAAUGUUUUGUCAUGUAUCUCGUUUCAACUUCGACUCAACGUUGUCUGCUUUGCCCCUUUGGCGCUCUACAGUUGAGUUUUUGCCAUUUCUGUGGUCCAUUUGACCUUGAUUUAGAUGAUAAAUUAAUAUAUCAAUUCUUAUAGGUUAGUUUAUUCAGAAAUCCUUUUCUAAUCAGAAUUAAAUAUGAUAUUGGAAGAGUCUUGUUUCUUUUCA
Musa acuminata AAA Group (dessert banana) is the source of this 8788-nucleotide RNA transcript. It is a transcript of the gene named tobamovirus multiplication protein 3-like, with no coding region annotated. The record is from RefSeq and is a predicted model, not a curated record. Lineage: Eukaryota; Viridiplantae; Streptophyta; Magnoliopsida; Zingiberales; Musaceae. The transcript has 5 exons.